This 119-nucleotide ribosomal RNA is filed under the name Pteropus alecto (black flying fox). The record is from RNAcentral. Lineage: Eukaryota; Metazoa; Chordata; Mammalia; Chiroptera; Pteropodidae.
GUCUACAGCCAUGCUGCCCUGAACACGCCCUGUCUUGUCUGAUCUUGGAAGCUAAGCAGAGUCGGGCCUGGCUAGUACUUGGAUGAAAAAUGACCUAGGAAUACCAGGUGCUGUAGGCU